UACGGGGGGAGCAAGCGUUGUUCGGAUUUACUGGGCGUAAAGGGCGCGUAGGCGGCUCAACAAGUCACUUGUGAAAUCUCCGGGCUUAACCCGGAGCGGCCAAGUGAUACUGUCGUGCUAGAGUGCGGAAGGGGCUACUGGAAUUCCGGGUGUAGCGGUGAAAUGCGUAGAUAUACGGAGGAACACCAGCGGCGAAGGCGGGUAGCUGGGCCAACACUGACGCUGAUGCGCGAAAGCUAGGGGAGCAAACGGG
RNAcentral lists this ribosomal RNA (253 nucleotides) under uncultured bacterium. RNAcentral's name for it is "partial 16S ribosomal RNA". It matches the Rfam family "Bacterial small subunit ribosomal RNA", at positions 524 to 776 of the family's 1533-position model. The record is from RNAcentral.